UUAGAGUUUGAUCCUGGCUCAGGAUGAACGCUAGCGGCAGGCUUAACACAUGCAAGUCGAGGGGCAGCGGGGAGUAGCAAUACUCUGCCGGCGACCGGCGGAAGGGUGCGUAACGCGUGAGCAACUUGCCCGUAUCAGGGGGAUAAGCAAUGGAAACGUUGUCUAAUAUCCCGUAACAACAGAGGCCGCAUGGUCUUUGUUUGAAAGCUACGGCGGAUACGGAUGGGCUCGCGUGACAUUAGCUAGUUGGAGUGGUAACGGCACACCAAGGCGACGAUCAGUAGGGGUCCUGAGAGGGAGGUCCCCCACAUUGGUACUGAGACACGGACCAAACUCCUACGGGAGGCAGCAGUGAGGAAUAUUGGUCAAUGGGCGAGAGCCUGAACCAGCCAUGUCGCGUGGAGGAAUAAGGAUCUAUGGUUCGUAAACUCCUUUUGCGGGGGGAUAAAGUGCGGGACGUGUCCCGCUUUGCAGGUACCCCGCGAAUAAGCAUCGGCUAACUCCGUGCCAGCAGCCGCGGUAAUACGGAGGAUGCGAGCGUUAUCCGGAUUUAUUGGGUUUAAAGGGUGCGUUAGCGGAGAAUUAAGUCUGUGGUGAAAGCGUGCGGGCUCAACCGUACCAAGCCAUGGAAACUGGUUUUCUUGAGUGUAAACGAGGUAGGCGGAAUAUGACGUGUAGCGGUGAAAUGCUUAGAUAUGUCAUAGAACCCCGAUUGCGAAGGCAGCUUACCAGCAUACAACUGACGCUGAGGCACGAAAGCGUGGGUAUCAAACAGGAUUAGAUACCCUGGUAGUCCACGCAGUAAACGAUGAAUACUAGCUGUUGGCGAUAUAAUGUCAGCGGUAAAGCGAAAGUGUUAAGUAUUCCACCUGGGGAGUACGCCGGCAACGGUGAAACUCAAAGGAAUUGACGGGGGCCCGCACAAGCGGAGGAACAUGUGGUUUAAUUCGAUGAUACGCGAGGAACCUUACCCAGACUCAAAUGGGGGCCGGCAGGCGCGGAGACGCGCCCUCCCUCCGGGGCGGCCUUCAAGGUGCUGCAUGGUUGUCGUCAGCUCGUGCCGUGAGGUGUCAGGUUAAGUCCUAUAACGAGCGCAACCCCUACGUCCAGUUGCCAGCGGGUCGAGCCGGGGACUCUGGACGGACUGCCGGCGCAAGCCGAGAGGAAGGCGGGAAUGACGUCAAAUCAGCACGGCCCCUACGUCUGGGGCGACACACGUGCUACAAUGGUCGGUACAGAAGGAAGCGAAGCCGCGAGGCGGAGCGAAUCCCAAAAAGCCGGUCUCAGUGCAGAUUGCAGGCUGCAACUCGCCUGCAUGAAGAUGGAGUUGCUAGUAACCGCAGGUCAGCGAUACUGCGGUGAAUACGUUCCCGGGCCUUGCACACACCGCCCGUCA
RNAcentral lists this ribosomal RNA (1396 nucleotides) under uncultured bacterium. Its description in RNAcentral is "16S ribosomal RNA". It matches the Rfam family "Bacterial small subunit ribosomal RNA". The record is from RNAcentral.